UACGAAGGGGGCUAGCGUUGUUCGGAAUUACUGGGCGUAAAGCGCACGUAGGCGGAUUUGUUAGUCAGGGGUGAAAUCCCGGGGCUCAACCUCGGAACUGCCUUUGAUACUGCAAAUCUCGAGUCCGGAAGAGGUGAGUGGAAUUCCUAGUGUAGAGGUGAAAUUCGUAGAUAUUAGGAAGAACACCAGUGGCGAAGGCGGCUCACUGGUCCGGUACUGACGCUGAGGUGCGAAAGCGUGGGGAGCAAACAGGAUUAGAUACCCCCGUAGUCC
This 273-nucleotide ribosomal RNA is filed under the name uncultured bacterium. Its description in RNAcentral is "partial 16S ribosomal RNA". It matches the Rfam family "Bacterial small subunit ribosomal RNA", at positions 524 to 796 of the family's 1533-position model. The record is from RNAcentral.